GCCACUGGAAACGGUGAUUAAUACCGGAUACUCCUUCUUGUUAUAAGACAAGUCGGGAAAGUUUUUCGCUAAGGGAUCAGUCUAUGUUCCAUCAGCUUGUUGGUGAGGUAAUGGCUCACCAAGGCUAUGACGGAUAUCUGGUUUGAGAGGAUGAUCAGACACACUGAAACUGAGACACGGUCCAGACUCCUACGGUAGGCAGCAGUGAGGAAUAUUGCACAAUGGAGGAAACUCUGAUGCAGCAACGCCGCGUGGAGGAUGACGCAUUUCGGUGUGUAAACUCCUUUUAUUAGGGAAGAUAAUGACGGUACCUAAUGAAUAAGCACCGGCUAACUCCGUGCCAGCAGCCGCGGUAAUACGGAGGGUGCAAGCGUUACUCGGAAUCACUGGGCGUAAAGGGUGCGUAGGCUGGCUUUUAAGUCAGAUGUGAAAUCCAAUGGCUCAACCAUUGAACUGCAUUUGAAACUGAAAGCCUAGAGUUCAGAAGGGGCAGAUGGAAUUAGUGGUGUAGGGGUAAAAUCCGUAGAUAUCACUAGGAAUAUCAAAAGCGAAGGCGAUCUGCUGGGAUGAUACUGA
Molecule: ribosomal RNA, 576 nt
Filed under: uncultured bacterium
Lineage: Bacteria
Description: bacterial SSU rRNA
Rfam family: Bacterial small subunit ribosomal RNA
Source: RNAcentral